This 253-nucleotide ribosomal RNA is filed under the name uncultured bacterium. Its description in RNAcentral is "partial 16S ribosomal RNA". It matches the Rfam family "Bacterial small subunit ribosomal RNA", at positions 524 to 776 of the family's 1533-position model. The record is from RNAcentral.
UACGUAGGAUGCAAGCGUUGUCCGGAUUUAUUGGGCUUAAAGGGUGCGUAGGCGGCUUAUUAAGAUAGAGGAGAAAACCCAGGGCUUAACCUGAUACCCGCCAUUGAUACUGAUAGACUUGAGUGCGACAGAGGGUGUUGGAAUGUGUUGUGUAGCGGUGAAAUGCGUAGAUAUCACGCAGAACACCAAUUGCGAAGGCAGAUGCCUAGGACGUAACUGACGCUGAGGCACGAAAGCGUGGGGAGCAAACAGG